UACGAAGGGGGGCUAGCGUUGCUCGGAAUCACUGGGCGUAAAGCGCACGUAGGCGGCUUUCUAAGUCAGGGGUGAAAUCCUGGAGCUCAACUCCAGAACUGCCUUUGAUACUGGAGUGCUUGAGUCCGGGAGAGGUGAGGUGGAACUCCGAGUGUAGAGGUGAAAUUCGUAGAUAUUCGGAAGAACACCAGUGGCGAAGGCGGCUCACUGGCCCGGUACUGACGCUGAUGUGCGAAAGCGUGGGGAGCAAACAGG
RNAcentral lists this ribosomal RNA (255 nucleotides) under uncultured bacterium. RNAcentral's name for it is "partial 16S ribosomal RNA". It matches the Rfam family "Bacterial small subunit ribosomal RNA", at positions 524 to 776 of the family's 1533-position model. The record is from RNAcentral.